This 3046-nucleotide long non-coding RNA is filed under the name Panax ginseng (ginseng). Its description in RNAcentral is "long non-coding RNA (PGIN_LNC017960)". The record is from RNAcentral. Lineage: Eukaryota; Viridiplantae; Streptophyta; Magnoliopsida; Apiales; Araliaceae.
UGGAGGGACGUUCCCAGACCUCCAGUAUUGUACCGGGAAAGAAGGAAAUAGGUUUCUCCCUCUCUCUCUCUCUCUCUCUCUCUCUCUCUCUCUCUAUAUAUAUAUAUAUAUAUAAACAGAAAAAUUCGCACGUUUGACUUUCUUUUGACAGGUUGCGCUUAUAUUUUCUGUAAGUUCUUUAGAUUCAAUUUUAUGAUUUUCAUUUUCAUAGAAAAUCUGUUGUUCUUUAUGUUUUAGUUAACUUUCAUUACUACAUAAACGAUGCUGUUUUGAUUUAUUAUUAACCCCUCUCGAAAUUUCUGUUUUGUUUAUCUGUUUAUAGUAGUAAGUAAUUUGUUGAUUAAAUUCAAUAAAAGUCAAUAUUCAGCCUGGUUAGAAAAAGUGAAUCUUGGUUAAUGGUAUAUAUAUCCCCUUUAAGGUUUUUUAAAAAAAAAGAAAAAAAGAAAAAGAAAAAGAAAUUAAGGUAAGCUUUUCUUUUCUAUAAUGGUGUGAAAUAACAUUUAUAUAAAUUAUAAGUGAAUUGAAAUGCCUAGUAUUCAACUGUUUGAGAAAAUUUCAGGAUUAAGUUAAUUACUUUUUAGAGUAAAUUCCAACAUGAAAUCUGAUGCUUGAAAAUGAUAUACCUGUGCUGGGUAGUCGACAUUGGAUUUGCACUAUACGUGUAUCUUCUAGGGCAGCGGCCUGUUGAUAAAUGUAAAGAUACUAGUUAACUAUUUAUGAGGUAGGCACACCCAUUUUCAGCAGAAUGCAUAUUUUAAGAUAAGUAGAACUGGGUGGAAGGGCAAAAUAGUUGACAGUUUUAAUUUAAAUGAUAAGGACCGGUCUUCUGAGAGGAACCUUUGAUCUCAUCACUUAGCGUUAGAAAUUUUGAUAUUCUGACUUUACACAAAAUAAAUUCUAGAGGUAUUCUGUCAUGCAAGUGUGGGCUAUGGGACUGUUGUUUCUAGUUGGUUUAUUUGCUGGUGCAAGGAAACAACAUGAAGCAUAUUACUGAAGGAGAUUAAACAUUAACAUGAUGAUUACUGAAUUUUAUUCUCUUCUAAGGCCUAAGAGAAAAGCUGUCUGUAGCUAUUGGUGCCAGUAAUGAUUGGUCAUAUGAACUGAAAGUUGGAUAUGGAAGACAAUUAGGAGUCAAAGUACCUUUAAUAAUACAAAUUAUCCCUACUCUGCAGGAUGCUUGGUGUUUGUGGACCUUUUUUUUAAAAAUAAAAAAUGUGUGAAGCCAUUUCACAGGUCAUAAUUUUCGUAUUUUGCAAGACUUGCAAAACCUUUAUAAUUUGAAAUCAAGUAUUACUGCCCUGCAAAGGGCCACUUCAAGUAUUGACAUCUCAUCAUUUGUUGCUAGUUCAAAUCGCAGUUAGAACUGUUCCGUCAUGUUGAAGAACUAAAGGUGAAUUUGAUGAAUCGGUCAUUGCAUUUUACUUUUCAAGGAUUUAAAUGUCAUUUACUCACAGAAUCAAAUACAAAACAAUAAAAGCAAAAUCCGGGAACUACACCCAGUGAUUUCAAAUACGAAAUCACUGGGUGUAGUUCCCGGAAAACCUGGCUUGCUUGGCUUUACAAAGCUAGAUUACUAACGCGGAGGAAUUUUUCGUUGGUUGAACGAGCUAGCCAGCAAACCCCCCUAACUCACCUCUUGCUCUAUAGAAAAAGUCCUUUAUCCUUUUAACUAGGAGAGAAAGCUCCGCUAGCUGCCCCUUUGCUCUAUAGAAAUGGAUGGAAAUGCCCAAUGCAUGCAAUACCUCUACAAUAUACAAGCAAAACCAUGCGAAAGGUGUAAAUUUGUUUUUUUAGAUAUUGAUCACAAUGGGCAGAUUUUGUGUAUGCUCUCUAUUUGGAAUUUGAUGAGGCAGCUUGUUGCUUGGGAAGUUGCGCUGUUGUGUUGACUUGUGCUUGCCAAAACAAGUAUACAAAUUUAACUUUUAUUCUAAUCCCUUUUUAAUUUACUGUUGAAAGCUAAUUUUAGCUUCUAUCUCGGUAUUUCAGAACCAUUUAUUAUGACCUUAGUUUUACUAGUGUUUGCUAGAUACAACUUUUCAGUCUGAUGUAUUACUGGCAAUUGCAGGUACAAUAAAAUAUGGCAGUAAAACCAACAGUCGCCUUUAGGGCUAUAUUAGUAGGAGGUGUAGCUGCAUUUGCAAAAAUUGCUGGUGUAAUGAAAGCUGCAGGUGGUGCAAAAAUUGGUGUAGCAGCUGCAGCCAUGACAGCUGCGGCAGGUGCAACUAUGUCGGGAUCAAAACAGGAUAAAAAGGAGGCUUCUAAGUAGCCUUUCAAGUGAAUUCUUCUCGGUUUGGCAAGUUAAUAAUACGAGCAUGUAGGAGACUAAUCUUUCCAUGAUUUUAUGGGGAAAUUUUAGUUGUACUUUCCUGCAAUGGGAUGGGAUGGGAUGGGAUGGAUGUUUAAUCAGUUGGAAAUACUUAAAUGUAGUUUAGUUGAAAUCAGUAGACAACCACAUGAUCUCGAGGUUAAGAGAUUGGGCUUUUGUAAGUGGGAAAGAGGAGUUAUGAUUCAUGAAACGUUUAAUGCAUUAGACUUGAGUUUACCAUAUAAUACUAAUGUUAUUGCUAACUAGACUGGUAUCAGAGCUCUUGAAACCAGUUUGUGUUUAAUGGUUAGGAACAUUUUGGAUAUUUUACUUGGUUGUAAAGGUUAAUCACCGUUGUUCAGUCUUAGGUGCAGGUUAUAGAAUUCAUGCCAAUUAAUUUGCCGGCAACACAUAACAACAAUUGUAGAAUACUCAGGAAAUCAUCUCAUUGUUGCCUUUAUCCACAUUAUCUCUAUGGAUUUGUUUUCUGAUGUUUAGGACGGACAAGGCUGUGCUUAUAGUUUAGAAGCUGUUGAUGGGUUUCUGAAGGCAUGUCAACAUUGCCUGAGCUGAUUGCUGCUAAUAAUUAUUGAAAUGGCCUAUGGCGAUGGCAUUUCCAGUUUGUAUGUGAUGACCAAAUAAAAAUAUUGCCACGAUAAUAACACUUGUUUUCAAAUUUAGCUGAUGACGGCAAACUGCGCUAUGUAGUGGUUUGUCAAUAAAUAGCCAUUCCUCUUCAUG